GAUGAACGCUGGCGGCGUGCCUAAUACAUGCAAGUCGAGCGAACGGACGAGAAGCUUGCUUCUCUGAUGUUAGCGGCGGACGGGUGAGUAACACGUGGAUAACCUACCUAUAAGACUGGGAUAACUUCGGGAAACCGGAGCUAAUACCGGAUAAUAUUUUGAACCGCAUGGUUCAAAAGUGAAAGACGGUCUUGCUGUCACUUAUAGAUGGAUCCGCGCUGCAUUAGCUAGUUGGUAAGGUAACGGCUUACCAAGGCAACGAUGCAUAGCCGACCUGAGAGGGUGAUCGGCCACACGGGAACUGAGACACGGUCCAGACUCCUGCGGGAGGCAGCAGUAGGAAAUCUUCCGCAAUGGGCGAAAGCCUGACGGAGCAACGCCGCGUGAGUGAUGAAGGUCUUCGGAUCGUAAAACUCUGUUAUUAGGGAAGAACAUAUGUGUAAGUAACUGUGCACAUCUUGACGGUACCUAAUCAGAAAGCCACGGCUAACUACGUG
RNAcentral lists this ribosomal RNA (497 nucleotides) under uncultured bacterium. Its description in RNAcentral is "partial 16S ribosomal RNA". It matches the Rfam family "Bacterial small subunit ribosomal RNA", at positions 28 to 507 of the family's 1533-position model. The record is from RNAcentral.